This 63-nucleotide transfer RNA is filed under the name Batracomorphus nigromarginattus. RNAcentral describes it as "tRNA-Pro". Lineage: Eukaryota; Metazoa; Arthropoda; Insecta; Hemiptera; Cicadellidae. The record is from RNAcentral.
CAACAAAUAGUUUAUUUUAAAAUAUAAUUUUUGGGUAAUUAAGAUGGAUUUUUCUUUUGUUGA